AUUGAACGCUGGCGGCAGGCCUAACACAUGCAAGUCGAACGAGUGGCGGACGGGUGAGUAAUGUCUGGGAAACUGCCUGAGGGAGGGGGAUAACUACUGGAAACGGUAGCUAAUACCGCAUACCAUCAGAUGUGCCCAGAGGGGAUUAGCUUGUGGGUGGGGUAACGGCUCACCAAGGCGACGAUCCCUAGCUGGUCUGAGAGGAUGCACAGCCACACUGGGACUGAGACACGGCCCAGACUCCUACGGGAGGCAGCAGUGGGGAAUAUUGCACAAUGGGCGCAAGCCUGAUGCAGCCAUGCCGCGUGUAUGAAGAAGGCCUUAGGGUUGUAAAGUACUUUCAGUGGGGAGGCGUUACCCACAGAAGAAGCACCGGCUAACUACGUGCCAGCAGCCGCGGUAAUAC
This 406-nucleotide ribosomal RNA is filed under the name uncultured bacterium. Its description in RNAcentral is "partial 16S ribosomal RNA". It matches the Rfam family "Bacterial small subunit ribosomal RNA", at positions 30 to 526 of the family's 1533-position model. The record is from RNAcentral.